Molecule: ribosomal RNA, 806 nt
Filed under: Amauroderma schomburgkii
Lineage: Eukaryota; Fungi; Basidiomycota; Agaricomycetes; Polyporales; Polyporaceae
Description: partial large subunit ribosomal RNA
Source: RNAcentral
AUCUGGCGGUCUUUGGCCGUCCGAGUUGUAGUCUGGAGAAGUGCUUUCCGCGCUGGACCGUGUAUAAGUCUCUUGGRAACAGAGCGUCAUAGAGGGUGAGAAUCCCGUCUUUGACACGGACUACCAGUGCUUUGUGAUGCGCUCUCAAAGAGUCGAGUUGUUUGGGAAUGCAGCUCAAAAUGGGUGGUGAAUUCCAUCUAAAGCUAAAUAUUGGCGAGAGACCGAUAGCGAACAAGUACCCGUGAGGGAAAGAUGAAAAGCACUUUGGAAAGAGAGUUAAACAGUACGUGAAAAUUGCUGNAAAGGGAAACGCUUGAAGUCAGUCGCGUUAGCCGGAACUCAGCCUUGCUUUCGCUUGGUGCACUUUCCGGUUGACGGGCCAGCAUCGAUUUUGACCGUCGGAUAAGGGCUAGAGUAAUGUGGCACCUCCGGGUGUGUUAUAGACUCUGGUCGCACACGGCGGUUGGGAUCGAGGAACGCAGCGCGCCGUAAGGCAGGGGUUCGCCCACUUUCGCGCUUAGGAUGCUGGCAUAAUGGCUUUAAACGACCCGUCUUGAAACACGGACCAAGGAGUCUAACAUACCUGCGAGUGUUUGGGUGGAAAACCCGAGCGCGUAAUGAAAGUGAAAGUUGAGACCUCUGUCGUGGAGGGCAUCGACGCCCGGACCUGACGUUCUCUGACGGAUCCGCGGUAGAGCAUGUAUGUUGGGACCCGAAAGAUGGUGAACUAUGCCUGAAUAGGGUGAAGCCAGAGGAAACUCUGGUGGAGGCUCGUAGCGAUUCUGACGUGCAAAUCGAUCGUCAAA